This is a long non-coding RNA of Chelonia mydas (Green sea turtle), 2867 nucleotides long. RefSeq lists it as uncharacterized. The transcript is spliced from 2 exons. The record is from RefSeq and is a predicted model, not a curated record. NCBI's taxonomy places the organism in Eukaryota, Metazoa, Chordata, Testudines, Cheloniidae.
CCAGUCCCUUGCUAUAACGAACAAGGAUGAGCAUGUGCAAUGGGUAGGGGAUAGGGUGAGAGCAUGGCAAGUUUCCAAGUGGAUAUUCCCCCUCCUCCUCCCCCUCCCCCCCGACAUGUACAAACAAGGCGAUAACGAAAGUGAAGAGCUGAAAAAGCCCUUACCCCAUAUACAGUAUUGAUGUACAGUGCUGUGUUUGUAAUCAGGACGGGGGGUGAAGCAGCGAUGAGAGAAGUAUUACUGAUUGUUGACGCAAAAAAGGCAAGGAAGAAGUGCUCCAGGAGAGGAGAUACAAGACAGGAUUUGCUCAUCGAUUUUCUGAAAUGGAAAAGUUUUAAAGGAUAUGGGUGCAUGAAGAGAGGAAAAGGGAUAACCUUUCUUCUAAAAACAUCAAAUUGCCAAGACACAGCCUCCAUCCAUCCCGCAUGUUAAAAAAGACUUUUUUAAGGGGAAACUUGCCAAAGGCCAAUAGAUCCUCACUUCUCUCCCUUCCCAAGGCAUAUCCUUCUUUCUAUUCCACAUGUAUCUGUUUAUGUCUGCCUCAGAUUUGUACUGAGUGAGGCAACCAGAAAUGCUGGCAAUCGAAAUUUUCCACCAUCGCGAUUGUUCCGGGUCCACUAAAACUAUUUCCAGUAGCAAUGUUUCGUUUUAAGAGACAGAACCAGCAAAACAGCAGGGAGCUAUACUUGUGUAUCAAGAUCUGCAGAAGGAAAGAGCUGAAAAGAUGGCAAUGAAAAAGCGCCCGGAGACAAAAACAAAUCAGAAGCCUCAGGUGGUCUAACUUGGACCUCUGAAACCGAAGUACCACUGUGUGUGUACACAAGGUACCCAGCAUAUGCCUAUACAUAAGUACAGUCUGUGUGUGUAUCUCAGAGUAUAUGAUUAAGAACAUGCACGCACACAAUAGCUCUACCUAGCUUAGAGGGGUUUAGCCUUGGGAGAAAGACGUCUCAGAGCUGUCCCUCGCUGUUUUCCCUGUGUGCCAGAAGGGGCCGCUGCACUAAUUCGCCAGGGCAAACAAUGCGAGGAUUGAUUACAUUUGCAAAGUUGCUGCCUGAUCCGGCUUCCUCCGAAGGCGACGGCAAACCACCCCCCCCCCCCCCCAACUUCAGUGGCAGCAGGCUCGGACGCCUGAGUUGCGCAGGGAUUAGCAGGGCGGGAGCUCCCCUGCCUCCUGUCACGCUAGUAGGGUACCGUGGCGCGUUUCUCAGCGGCGCGGUCAGCGGGUGUGCGCAGAGACGCAGACACAGCUCCUCCCGCUCCAGGCUCCGCUCUGCACAGACAGACCCAGGCUACGUACAGCUCUCGCUACCUCUCUGGUUUCCAGGACGCAUGUUCUCUGGAGGAGUGUCACAGUCUAUUGUGUAACCCCCUCAUCGCGUUUUACUGACAUUACCCAUUCGCCGAGGGCCCGAAUCUGAAGUACCAUGAUGCCACCCCGUCCGAUAGCCCUCCAGGGAAACAGGGCUGGGCCCGGGCGGCAGAUCAGGUCGCAGUUGUGUCUCCCCCACCCCACCGAUCCCAGUUUGCGAGCGGCUGGCUGGGUUAAUCCGUCCGUGUCUCAGAGCCAGCGAGGCGCAAGAACACAGCUAAUAAAUUAAUCCGCCGCUUUCCCACCCCCCGAGCGGGAACCCCGCUGCCGCUCAGCGCCGCGCCUCCGGCGAGUGGCAGCACGCGCGCCCCCCAGGCUCAGGUGCGGCGCAGGAAGAGCCCAGCCUGUCUUUCGCGCUUGCCUCCAGCAGCAGCCCCAGCCCCACACUCCGGGGCUGAUUUACAUGUUAAUUGUGCCUGGGAAAACUUCUGUAAUUGCCGGAAUUAGGCAGAGCAAACGGAUUGUUUCACAGGCUGAACCAAAUUAAUUCCAGGUUUAGCUCCUUCCCUUAGAGAAACAAACAAUUAAGCUGUCUUGUUUGCUUUAUGGAUAUCGUUGAAAUGGGAGACACGUUGCUUUUCUAGAGAGGGCGGGGUGGGGUUUUCUUUCGCAGGAUGUAUUGUUGUUUUGAAUAUUAAUGUUUAUUUACUUAUUUUAUUUCACAGAGUCGCUACAUGGAGAGGCUAUUUCUAUUGACUUUUUUUGCACAAUCCAAUCAGUAACACACUGAUUUAUAAUUGCUUACCUUUUCAUAGCAUAUCACUAAAGAAAGCUGUGUCCCUCCUCUCUGAUUUUCCAAAUCCGCUGCAUUACGAUCCAGUUAGACAGCUAUCUUUUUAAACCGUUUGGAUUUCGAUUAUGAGAUGAAACCGCAGUGGAAGCCACGUGUAAAUCCGCUCGCUUGGAGCUCUAAGACUCUUUUUUACCAGUGCCUUUGUGACAGCAAGCGAAGGAGCAGGGGGAAUAAAAGCAAAAGAUCCCCCAUCCCCCUUUUGCUGAUUUCAGCCUGUUCCUUCUCUGACUGCUGCAGCUAAAACCUCGGGGCUAUAUGGUCAAAACCUGACGCUCAGAGACAGGACUGACGUUCAGAGUGCUCAAUCCCACUUCAAUCAGUUGGUCUCCAGUUUGAAACAAAGCACUGCUUGGGACGUGGGAGGGAUGCAAACCACAGUGGAUUCUCUUUACAGUGAAUGAAGUGCAAUUCAGUGCAGCACAUGGAGACUUCUCAACGAUCUUAAAUCUGGAUAUAAAACAUAACCUUUAAAGUCCUGGGAAGGAGCUAAACUAUAACCUGAAUUCAUUUGGGGGAUGCAAGACCUCCUCUUGUCUUGAUCUAACUAGUGUGCAAAUGUUUCCUAACAGUACUUUUACUGUAUCUGCCCCAUGAAUAGAUCCACAGGGCUGCUGUCCUUUCCCUUUCAACAAUAAUUCUACUGUACUGCAUUGAAUCUUUAGCUCCAUUCACUUUUUAUAUUAAAUUAUUGUUUGGGAAAUU